Molecule: ribosomal RNA, 400 nt
Filed under: uncultured bacterium
Lineage: Bacteria
Description: bacterial SSU rRNA
Rfam family: Bacterial small subunit ribosomal RNA
Source: RNAcentral
UGAGGAAUAUUGCUCAAUGGGCGCAAGCCUGAAGCAGCGACGCCGCGUGGGUGACGAAGGUCUUCGGAUCGUAAAGCCCUUUUGCCGGGGACGAGGAAGGACGGUACCCGGUGAAGAAGUGUCGGCUAACUACGUGCCAGCAGCCGCGGUAAAACGUAGGACACAAGCGUUAUCCGGAAUUACUGGGCGUAAAGCGCGAGCAGGCGGUCGAUCAAGCCACGUGUGAAAGCUCCGGGCUAAACUCGGAGAGGACAGGUGGGACUGGUGGACUGGAGUCCAGGAGAGGGAUGCGGAAUUCCGGGUGUAGUGGUGAAAUGCGUAGAGAUCCGGAGGAACACCAGAGGCGAAGGCGGCAUCCUGGCCUGGUACUGACGCUGAGACGCGAAAGCAUGGGGAGCGA